CCUACGGGUGGCAGCAGUGAGGAAUAUUGGUCAAUGGACGAGAGUCUGAACCAGCCAAGUAGCGUGAAGGAUGACUGCCCUAUGGGUUGUAAACUUCUUUUAUAUGGGAAUAAAACGUUCCACGUGUGGGAUUUUGUAUGUACCAUAUGAAUAAGGCUCGGCUAACUCCGUGCCAGCAGCCGCGGUAAUACGGAGGAUCCGAGCGUUAUCCGGAUUUAUUGGGUUUAAAGGGAGCGUAGGUGGAUUGUUAAGUCAGUUGUGAAAGUUUGCGGCUCAACCGUAAAAUUGCAGUUGAAACUUGCAGUCUUGAGUACAGUAGAGGUGGGCGGAAGUCGUGGUGUAGCGGUGAAAUGCUUAGAUAUCACGAAGAACUACGAUUGCGAAGGCAGUUCACUGGACUGCAACUGACACUGAGGCUCGAAAGUGUGGGUAUCAAACAGGAUUAGAGACCCCGGUAGUC
RNAcentral lists this ribosomal RNA (460 nucleotides) under uncultured bacterium. RNAcentral's name for it is "partial 16S ribosomal RNA". It matches the Rfam family "Bacterial small subunit ribosomal RNA", at positions 338 to 795 of the family's 1533-position model. The record is from RNAcentral.